Molecule: ribosomal RNA, 253 nt
Filed under: uncultured bacterium
Lineage: Bacteria
Description: partial 16S ribosomal RNA
Rfam family: Bacterial small subunit ribosomal RNA
Source: RNAcentral
UACGUAGGGUGCAAGCGUUAAUCGGAAUUACUGGGCGUAAAGCGUGCGCAGGCGGUUGUGCAAGACAGAUGUGAAAUCCCCGGGCUUAACCUGGGAACUGCAUCUGUGACUGCACAGCUGGAGUGCGGCAGAGGGGGAUGGAAUUCCGCGUGUAGCAGUGAAAUGCGUAGAUAUGCGGAGGAACACCGAUGGCGAAGGCAAUCCCCUGGGCCUGCACUGACGCUCAUGCACGAAAGCGUGGGGAGCAAACAGG